CCUACGGGAGGCAGCAGGGGGGAAUAUUGCACAAUGGGCGAAAGCCUGAUGCAGCGACGCCGCGUGAGGGAUGACGGCCUUCGGGUUGUAAACCUCUUUCAGCAGGGAAGAAGCGCAAGUGACGGUACCUGCAGAAGAAGCACCGGCUAACUACGUGCCAGCAGCCGCGGUAAUACGUAGGGUGCGAGCGUUGUCCGGAAUUAUUGGGCGUAAAGAGCUCGUAGGCGGUCUGUCGCGUCGGAUGUGAAAGCCCGGGGCUUAACCCCGGGUCUGCAUUCGAUACGGGCAGACUAGAGUGUGGUAGGGGAGAUCGGAAUUCCUGGUGUAGCGGUGAAAUGCGCAGAUAUCAGGAGGAACACCGGUGGCGAAGGCGGAUCUCUGGGCCAUUACUGACGCUGAGGAGCGAAAGCGUGGGGAGCGAACAGGAUUAGAUACCCUGGUAGUCCACGCCGUAAACGUUGGGAACUAGGUGUUGGCGACAUUCCACGUCGUCGGUGCCGCAGCUAACGCAUUAAGUUCCCCGCCUGGGGAGUACGGCCGCAAGGCUAAAACUCAAAGGAAUUGACGGCUGAGACGNGCGACGACGACGACGAGGAGAG
RNAcentral lists this ribosomal RNA (599 nucleotides) under uncultured bacterium. RNAcentral describes it as "bacterial SSU rRNA". It matches the Rfam family "Bacterial small subunit ribosomal RNA", at positions 338 to 960 of the family's 1533-position model. The record is from RNAcentral.